CUGUGCUAAGGGGAAAAACAAUACAGCUGUGCUAAGGGAACCAAAAGUGGAAGAAGGCAACAACAGCUUGCUGUGCAACGAAGGCAACAACAACUGGAACUACAAGGGUGUAGGCAUCAACAACUACUGGGGGAAGAAAGGGAACCAGAAGGGUGCUAAGGAAACCACAAUUGGAAUCACAAGGGCGCUAAGGCAACAACUGUUGGGGGAAGAGGGAACCACAAGGGUGCAGGCAACAACUUGGAAGGUAACAACAACUGUUGGGUGAAGAAGGGGAACCACAAUUGUAACCACAAGGGUGCUAAGGGAAGA
This 312-nucleotide unclassified non-coding RNA is filed under the name Hevea brasiliensis (rubber tree). The record is from RNAcentral. Lineage: Eukaryota; Viridiplantae; Streptophyta; Magnoliopsida; Malpighiales; Euphorbiaceae.